Suricata suricatta (meerkat) is the source of this 1778-nucleotide long non-coding RNA. RefSeq lists it as uncharacterized. The record is from RefSeq and is a predicted model, not a curated record. NCBI's taxonomy places the organism in Eukaryota, Metazoa, Chordata, Mammalia, Carnivora, Herpestidae. The transcript has 4 exons.
UUUAUUUGAUAAAUAUCAUACUUGGGUACAUCCAUAUUCCAUGUGGGCCCAGGGAUAUUUAUUUUAUCCGCUGGGUUAUAACUCAAUAUAACUUUAUGCUCUUGCUCAAAUUGUUCCAACUUCAGCCACUGAGUUUUUUUCAGUUGAGUCCCCAGACUUUCUGACUUGAGGAAAAAAACAAACUAAGGUAGAUAUUUUGCAGUAAUGAUCUCAAGUUCCUCCCAUUCCUGCACGUUCAACCCCUUUGCCAAGUGAUUCUGCAGUUUCCCUCACGGAGACUGAGUGCCCUUCUCCAUUCCUGGAAUUUGGGUCCAGCCCUGUGACUUGCUUUGGUCAAUGGGAAAAGGCCAAAGCUUGAAAAGGCCUUGUGCACGGGGCUUGCUGCCCCAGGGACUCUGAGACCACCCUGGGAGCCACCAGCCAGCCCGCGGAGAGGACAGGGUGUGUGGCCCAGGUAUCCCCACGGCCCUUGCCUACCGCCAGCCAGCAGCCACGGGAGCGAUUGCAGACAGAAGAUGAACUCAGACGCAAGCUGCUCCCACGGAUCCCAGUCCAGACUGCCAACCCACGGAGCCACGAGCAGGUCCCGGUGAGUUUAAGCCAGCGCGUCCUGGAAAACUUGCACCACUUCCUUUGCCAGAGGCCGCCAGAAGCGCAUCUGCCAGCAGACAACCUGAGCUGAUUCCUCAUCGCAGCGACAGAGGACGCACGGCCGGCUGGGAACUUGGAGGCAUCUCAGCAAGAGGGUGUUGGAAGAGGCUUAUUAUAGGAGCUGGGCUUGUGCGAGGUGACCUUGGGGACAGUGUGCUCCAGGACUGGUGGGGCAGUUCCACACACAAAGGAAAUCCGGGCUUCUUCCAUCGUUCUGCCUCCAGUCGUUUGUAGCUUCAAGAUAUGAGCUCACUGCAUGGUCCCAGCUGCUGGUGCUCCAGUCAUCACAUCUCCAUCUCAGUGUUCCUUACUCAUGAUGAGCAGCAGGCAGAGAGUGUUAGUAGAAGGUGUGCACGUCAAGAAGUGAUGACAAAUGAUUCACUGGUUUGGUGCGGCUUUUCCACUGUCCCAGAGGAAUGAAGUACACACACACCUGUGAGCUCCGAAAUACCCAUGCUGUCAUUUCAGUGAUUCCACACAGGAGUUCGGUGCUGUCCCAUUUGCAUUCAGAACUGUCACUGUAUAAUGUAAAGGUAAAGGGUACAAUUCAUGCUAAUAACUUCAAUGAAAAAGGUGUUUUAGAACAACAUUAAGUAGUGAAUAAAAACACCAUGACCUGUUGAGAGAGAUACUGUCGGAGAAAGGAACAACCACACUUUCCUAAUAUUUGAACGAGGGGCUCCACGUUUUCAUUUUGCACUGGGCCCUGCAGAUCAGAUUCCUGGUCCUGCUUGGAAUGCUUGCUGUCAGACGUCUCCUCUGAGAAUCCAGCCGCCAUGUUGUGAGGAAGCCCGAGUCCUGUGGAAAGGGCCUGUGUGGAUGGUCCCGUCAGCAGUCCUACCCAGGCCCGACCUUGGAGUCAUCCCAGCCCACAUGACAGAAAUGAAGCCUCCGGAUGAUUCCAUCUCCACCUCUCCCAGAAAUGUCCCCUCCCCCACCCCGCCCCUUACCCCUUAUCUCUUCCAGACACCUCCAUCUAGCAGAAGCUCAGUCGUCCUGGCACUGAGACCCACCCUCCUGCAAUGCCCUGUCUGACAUCCAGACCUACUAAAUCCAUGAGCAAAAUGAAGUCCAUGGUCGUUGUUUUUCUGCCCCUGAGACUGAGAUUGUUUUAUACACAGAAUUAA